Molecule: small nuclear RNA, 195 nt
Organism: Ochotona princeps (American pika)
Lineage: Eukaryota; Metazoa; Chordata; Mammalia; Lagomorpha; Ochotonidae
Product: U2 spliceosomal RNA
Exons: 1
Source: RefSeq, a predicted model, not a curated record
AUCGCUUCUCGGCCUUUUGGCUAAGAUCAAGUGUAGAAUCAGUUACAGAUAAAUCCAAAAAAAACCUUGACUAACAGUAUCUGAAGUCCUAAAUCAACUGGAUUAUUUGUUUACCUGUUCUUGGAGGAGCAACCAAAUCUUUUAGAGAUAAAUUAACCUGACAAUACAUUUAAUAACAAAUAUAGUUAACACACU